GCCAGGUAUAGGGUGGUACAUGCCUGUAUUCUCAGCUACUCAGGAGGCUGAGGCAGAAGGAUUGCUUGAGCCCAGGAGUUCUGAGCUGUAGUACGCUAUGCCAAUCAGGUGUCCGCACUAAGUUCGGCAUCAAUAUGGUGACCUACUGGGAGCAGGGGACCACCAGGUUGCCUAAAGAGCAGUGAACUGGCCCAGGUCAGAAAUAGGGCAGGUCAAAACUCCUGUGCUGAACAAUAGUGGUAUCGCUCCUAUGAAUAGCCACUGCACUCCAGCCUGGCAACAUAGCGAGAUCCCAUCCCU
Molecule: unclassified non-coding RNA, 300 nt
Organism: Aotus nancymaae (Ma's night monkey)
Lineage: Eukaryota; Metazoa; Chordata; Mammalia; Primates; Aotidae
Rfam family: Metazoan signal recognition particle RNA
About the family: The signal recognition particle (SRP) is a universally conserved ribonucleoprotein. It is involved in the co-translational targeting of proteins to membranes. The eukaryotic SRP consists of a 300-nucleotide 7S RNA and six proteins: SRPs 72, 68, 54, 19, 14, and 9.
Source: Ensembl